AAUGGGGUGCUCUGAUAAAAGGACCACUUUGAUAGAGUGGAUGAUGUGAGUUAGCCUCACCUCCAUUG
RNAcentral lists this transfer RNA (68 nucleotides) under Pollicipes polymerus. RNAcentral's name for it is "tRNA-Ile". Lineage: Eukaryota; Metazoa; Arthropoda; Thecostraca; Pollicipedomorpha; Pollicipedidae. The record is from RNAcentral.